UGGGUCCUGUAGUUGGCAAUAACAAGUUCUUUGCCCUACAAAUAUAUGAAAGGAAGCGGUCCCUGAUUAUGGUGAGCAAGCUCAUGUAAAUUGAGAAGCCUAAAAUGAUUAAAUACUGCAUCCACCUGUCGAUUGACGGGCGGAGACUUUCGAAAAACCAACUAUGGGACUCUU
RNAcentral lists this non-coding RNA (174 nucleotides) under Bacteriovorax sp. Seq25_V. Its description in RNAcentral is "6S / SsrS RNA". It matches the Rfam family "6S / SsrS RNA". Rfam says of the family: E. coli 6S RNA was the first non coding RNA to be sequenced, but its function was unknown until recently. It consists of 184 nucleotides that fold into an extended hairpin structure with a large single-stranded internal bulge. The 6S RNA specifically associates with RNA polymerase holoenzyme containing the sigma70 specificity factor. The record is from Rfam by way of RNAcentral. Lineage: Bacteria; Pseudomonadati; Bdellovibrionota; Bacteriovoracia; Bacteriovoracales; Bacteriovoracaceae.